RNAcentral lists this non-coding RNA (192 nucleotides) under human gut metagenome. The record is from RNAcentral.
CGUCGUGAGGCGGAGUCUGAAAGAAGUCGGAUGUGGGGACUGAAAAGAGUCCCUGCGGGCAAAACCUCGGUCUGACGAACAGAAACUACAUAUAAGGCACUUUGAAAUGGACGAGUUUGCGCAACAAAACAAAGUCCGAUACUGCCCGAGUUUCAAGGUGUAAAUGUAGCAGAUAUAUGAGGUGAAAGUGAU